Long non-coding RNA from Vombatus ursinus (common wombat), 1134 nucleotides. RefSeq lists it as uncharacterized. The record is from RefSeq and is a predicted model, not a curated record. The transcript has 2 exons. Lineage: Eukaryota; Metazoa; Chordata; Mammalia; Diprotodontia; Vombatidae.
CAGUGGAUGAUCUUGGCAUCUUUGAUGUCUGACUGAUGGGAUAUGCGUGUUUUAUUCAGGAGACCAGUCUGUGGAAUGUUCUAAACCAUGAAAUCCUUCAGAGACCAUGCCAUCUGUUUACAUGCCAUAUUCUCAAUAUCCUCAUUGCCUCAUCUGCUUCAAAGAAUCUAUACAUGAAAAAUUCUACUCUGAUGACAACCUCCUAAGCCUUCUAGUUCCCUAUCCAUUACCCCUCAGUGCAUCUAUUAUCUCGAUAUAGGUACCCCCUCUAAUAGUGGAUAUCACAAUUCAUCCAUGUGUCUCAUCCUGGGAGAUUCUUGGCCAUAGUCUCAUAUGAAUUCUCCAUCAAGGAUAUACAUCUACCCAACUGGAUAGAUAAAGGCUUUUCUCUGAAUCUUUUGCAUUCAGUGGGUACCACUGUGGAUACUAUUUACAUUCUCCAUCUUUUAUUCUUUCCCCUGCUACUGGUUUGAUCCAUCCAUUUUUCUGCUCAUACAUUUCCUAUCUACCUGUCUACCACUCAAAUUUGGAGCCUGGUUCUAUUACUUGCUACCUGUGUGACUAUAGGCAAGUCACUUCUCCUAUACCUACCCUAAGUACUCUCUCUUCAAAGCAAGCUGGAUUUUCUUGGUUCAGUUCCCACCCCCCAUUCCAUUUUUUCUUAUGCUAAGUUUGUAAGAGAAAUAAGUCCAGGGUUGAAAUAGUCCCUAAUAAAAUUCAUAGACUUUUUCUGAUUUUCUUUGACCCCUCACUCCUAGCUUCUCCUGAGGUUAAAAAAAAAAAAAGGGUUCCAACUGCUUUAAGGAACGGGUGCCCUUACUCUCUUACUCUCAAACCACAUAUAUUCAAUGACCAAGGAGGCUCAGGUUGAUGGCCAUCAAUUUAAUUCAACAAACAUUUAUUAAAGCACCUACUAUGUGCCAGGCACUGUGUAAAGUGCUGGGCAUAGAAAUAAGAAAAAGAAAGACCCUGCCUUCAAGAAGUUUACAGUCUAAUGGGGGAAGACAGAAUACAGGAAAAAGCUGAAAAAGAAGAAGGGCACAAGGGGAUACCUGGUAUGGGGCAUGAUGUUCAUGGAGUCAAAACAAAGCUGAGCAGCUGAUGGAAAAUAAAGAGUUACGUGGAAAGUUCUGA